CCUACGGGCGGCAGCAGUAGGGAAUCUUCGGCAAUGGACGGAAGUCUGACCGAGCAACGCCGCGUGAGUGAAGAAGGUUUUCGGAUCGUAAAGCUCUGUUGUAAGAGAAGAACGAGUGUGAGAGUGGAAAGUUCACACUGUGACGGUAUCUUACCAGAAAGGGACGGCUAACUACGUGCCAGCAGCCGCGGUAAUACGUAGGUCCCGAGCGUUGUCCGGAUUUAUUGGGCGUAAAGCGAGCGCAGGCGGUUAGAUAAGUCUGAAGUUAAAGGCUGUGGCUUAACCAUAGUACGCUUUGGAAACUGUUUAACUUGAGUGCAAGAGGGGAGAGUGGAAUUCCAUGUGUAGCGGUGAAAUGCGUAGAUAUAUGGAGGAACACCGGUGGCGAAAGCGGCUCUCUGGUCUGUAACUGACGCUGAGGCUCGAAAGCGUGGGGAGCGAACAGGAUUAGAUACCCGGGUAGUC
This 465-nucleotide ribosomal RNA is filed under the name uncultured Streptococcus sp. Its description in RNAcentral is "bacterial SSU rRNA". It matches the Rfam family "Bacterial small subunit ribosomal RNA", at positions 338 to 795 of the family's 1533-position model. Lineage: Bacteria; Bacillati; Bacillota; Bacilli; Lactobacillales; Streptococcaceae. The record is from RNAcentral.